CUACGGAGGGUGCAAGCGUUAAUCGGAAUUACUGGGCGUAAAGAGUACGUAGGUGGUUUAUUAAGUCAGAUGUGAAAGCCCCGGGCUCAACCUAGGAACUGCAUUUGAAACUGAUAAGCUAGAGUAUGGUAGAGGGGGGUAGAAUUUCUAGUGUAGCGGUGAAAUGCGUAGAUAUUAGAAGGAAUACCAGUGGCGAAGGCGGCCCCCUGGACCAAUACUGACACUGAGGUACGAAAGCGUGGGGAGCGAACAGGAUUAGAAACCCUAGUAGUCC
RNAcentral lists this ribosomal RNA (274 nucleotides) under uncultured bacterium. RNAcentral's name for it is "partial 16S ribosomal RNA". It matches the Rfam family "Bacterial small subunit ribosomal RNA", at positions 523 to 796 of the family's 1533-position model. The record is from RNAcentral.